CGUAGGGUCCAAGCGUUAUCCGGAAUCACUGGGCGUAAAGCGUCCGCAGCCGGCGCGUUAAGUGUGAUGUUAAAUCGUGGGGCUCAACCCUGUCGGUGCAUCACAUACUGGCGUGCUAGAGGAUGGCAGAGGCAAGUGGAAUUAGCAGUGUAGCAGUGAAAUGCGUAGAUAUUGCUAGGAACACCAAUGGCGAAGGCAGCUUGCUGGGCCACACCUGACGGUCAUGGACGAAAGCGUGGGGAGCGAACAGGAUUAGAUACCCUGGUAGUCCACGCCGUAAACGAUGCAUACUAGACGUAUGGGGUAUCGACCCCCUGUGCGUCGAAGCUAACGCGAUAAGUAUGCCGCCUGGGAAGUACGGCCGCAAGGCUA
Molecule: ribosomal RNA, 372 nt
Filed under: uncultured organism
Description: bacterial SSU rRNA
Rfam family: Bacterial small subunit ribosomal RNA
Source: RNAcentral